RNAcentral lists this unclassified non-coding RNA (304 nucleotides) under uncultured Hydnellum. RNAcentral's name for it is "partial contains 5.8S ribosomal RNA, internal transcribed spacer 2, and large subunit ribosomal RNA". The record is from RNAcentral. Lineage: Eukaryota; Fungi; Basidiomycota; Agaricomycetes; Thelephorales; Thelephoraceae.
AACGCACCUUGCACUCUUGGGUAUUCCUGAGAGUAUGUCUGUUUGAGUGUCGUGAACCUCUCAAAACCCCCUUUUGUUUUAUUACAAAGGCGUUUGGGCUUUGGAUGUUGAUCGUUUGCCGUUUUUACUAAUGGCUCGGUCGAAAUAUAAUAGCUGAAGCUAAUGAUUGCAUUAGUUCGAGCUUGGAAUAUGGCGUGAUAAUUAUUUCGCUAUUGCACAGGUUUGAAUGCGAUUUUAAAGCGGGCUUAUAAACCACAUCUUAUCAUUAGACCUCAAAUCAGGCAGGACUACCCGCUGAACUUAA